GAACACACAGCAAGGAAAUGCUGAGACUGGUAGUCGGGCAGUCUGUCAAGAUCCAAACCCGAACUUCUCACUGGCAUGUUUGUAUUUUGAGGAAUGAGCAAAUACACAGGAGGGAAAACCAUAUCACGAGCACCUCUUCAGCAAAGCCCACCUCCCUCUCUCGUUUGAUUCCCCGGCCAUCCUUAUCAAAGACCCUCCAGGUGAACAGACAGCCAUCCUCAGCAACAGUCAGCAGGAACUGAUCAUCAAAGGCAGGGGGUACUUCAUGGCACGGAUCGUUCCCACUGAAGUGCCCACAAACAUCAUGCGUCCCGAAUGUGAGAUGGUGAUGGCUGUGUAGAUGACGUCAAAGGCUGAUAUCUCUCGAAGGAUC
Molecule: long non-coding RNA, 373 nt
Organism: Phodopus roborovskii (desert hamster)
Lineage: Eukaryota; Metazoa; Chordata; Mammalia; Rodentia; Cricetidae
Exons: 3
Source: RefSeq, a predicted model, not a curated record